GAUGAACGCUGGCGGUAUGCUUAACACAUGCAAGUCGAACGGACUCUUCGGAGUUAGUGGCGGACGGGUGAGUAACGCGUGAGAAUCUGGCUUUGGGUUCGGGACAACCACUGGAAACGGUGGCUAAUACCGGAUGUGCCGAGAGGUAAAAGAGAAAUUGCCUGAAGAUGAGCUCGCGUCUGAUUAGCUAGUUGGUGAGGUAAAGGCUCACCAAGGCAGCGAUCAGUAGCUGGUCUGAGAGGAUGACCAGCCACACUGGGACUGAGACACGGCCCAGACUCCUACGGGAGGCAGCAGUGGGGAAUUUUCCGCAAUGGGCGAAAGGCUGACGGAGCAAUACCGCGUGAGGGAAGAAGGCUCUUGGGUUGUAAACCUCUUUUCUUAGGGAAGAACAAAAUGACGGUACCUAAGGAAUCAGCAUCGGCUAACUCCGUG
RNAcentral lists this ribosomal RNA (435 nucleotides) under uncultured bacterium. RNAcentral's name for it is "partial 16S ribosomal RNA". It matches the Rfam family "Bacterial small subunit ribosomal RNA", at positions 28 to 507 of the family's 1533-position model. The record is from RNAcentral.